AGUGACUAAGUCUCAUGAGAGCUGAUGGUUUUAUAAGGGAAACCCCUUUUCACUUGGCUCUCAUUAUUUUCUUGUCUGAGGCCUCCCCAGCCACAUGGAACUGUGAGUCCAUUAAACCUGAUUUUCUUCAUAAAUUCCCAUCUUGGAUAUGUCUUUAUCAGCAACAUGAGAACAGAUGAAUAAAAAUUCUCAGACUGGGAGAAAAAUAUGCUAAAGUGCUUCAUUCCCAGAAUAAUAUUCUUGUUAUUUUGUCAUAUGGGCAGCCUACCUGCUUACCUCCUGUCCACACAUCCUAAUAUGAUGCCAACCAGUUAGUAUGUCCUCACUUACUUGCUGACAUGGAUUCUUUGCUUGGCCAAAUUUUAGUCACGUCUUCUGAACAUUCUUCUAGGCCCAUCUGUGCACUUCCUUGUAAAAUACUGUUUUAACUAAGUCAGUUUAGCAACAAUCCCCAAUCUCAGUGUCUGAUCACCCUUGGUAGCUGAUCAUAUUACUUAUCCUCCCUUAUCCCCCAGGUGAUUUCUGAUCUUUCUGGUCUGUUUUUAGCAAGAUCCUGUUAGGUUGGUUUAGCCAGAAUUCCCCUUACCCCUGAUGUUUCUGCUUAGUAAUUUUCCAUCCUCUGACUACCUCAUCUGCUUCUUGGCUACAGAUUCUCACUUGCCCCUGCUGUAUUCGGAGUUGAGUUCAAUCUCCCUAGCCUAUUGUUAAGACUUAGUUGUAGUCAUUCCUGUAGCUACUGCAAUGAUCCUAAAUGAAGUCUUUUUUACUGUGCUUUAACAAGUAUCAUUGAAUAUUUUUUUUCUUUAACAUUACACAAAAAGGAAAACAGCCUGUUCAUUUCAUGGAAGGACGUUUUGGAAAAAUAGAUCCAGACCUACAUAGAAAGGUAUGACAGCUACCUUAAUUCAUCCAUCAAGACCUUUCUUCUUAAUUGUGAAUUACCAACUAUAGAUCAUCAGAGAAUUUAAGAAAAUCGACAAACUAAAUGCAAAGAAACAAGCUAAUGAAAUAGAACAAAUGACUAAAGGAAACAGAAGUAAUUCAAUGAACAUAAGAAAACUUAAAAAAUAUUCUAAUUACAUUCUCAGAAAGAUUUGAGUGCACACUACAUACAUUAGAAGAGAAAAAUAAAGGAAAAUCAGACUGCUAUGAAAACCAAGUUUCCCACUUCAUGCUAAAAAGUGGUAACAUUGCAUGUCAGACUGAAGAAAGACACCUGAGUCUAUGUUGAGUUGUGUUUGGCCCCUUGCAAGGUUGUCAUAAAUGAUUCAUUGUUUUGGCUUAAGGGGCUUUCAGCUGGAUGACAAAGCAUAAGGACAAAAAAUAUGAAAUUUGUCAUUAAAUGUCUUCAUCAUUUAGCCUGUUUAAUUGUGCUAAGAUCUUUUAAGAAACAAUGAAUACAGAGAUUUCCAGAUUAUACUUCCAUGAAAGCCUAAAUCUUCUCAGGUAUUCACAGUUUAAAAAAAUUGAAGUAUACCAAAUGAUAUCCAAGUUUACUGUGAAAGCAAAUGGCCCAUAAAAUUUUGCAUUUACAUUUGAAUUUUAAUCUAGAGAGAAGGAGACCACAUAAGUAAAACACAAUCUAUCUCAUAGGCUGAAGCGUCAGGUAUUACAAAUGUAUGUGGUUAGCUUCUCUUUAUUUAGUUCUCAUUGAUUUAGGUACUAAUUCUACCCAUUCUUUGCUUUAAUCAUUUAGUAUUAAGAAAUAUUGACUUUCAUCAGAGCUUAAUAUACAACUGGCUCCAAAUCUAGAAAAUCAAUUUAAAUUCUUUAUAGUAGUAUGUAAUUGGUUAAUUCAGUCAUUUUUAAAACAAUAUAUUUGUUUAAAAAUAUUUAUUUUGCUAACCAGCUACCAGACAUUGUUCUAGGUAAUUCUUACAGAAGUGCGUAAGACAGAUAGUGUGGCUUCCCACAUAGGGCAUAUAGAUUACAAAGAGAAGACAUAGCUAAAGAAUUAAACCAAUAAUAAAAACAUCAAAUUCUCUGAAAAAAAGAGCUGCUGCCAGUAUCAGUGAAUACUUCUUUCAUGUAACACAAACUGACACUUAAAGAAAAAAAAAAAAACACUCAGCCAUGCAAAGAUGUAAGUAAAGAGAAUUCUGGGUGGAAAGAAUAGGAUAAGUGAAAUAUUUCAAGCAUGGAAGAUCUAGGAAUCUUUCAGGAACUGAAAGGAGGCCAGUAUGAUUGGAAUAGAGAAAAUAGGUAGGCCAGGAGGUCAGAUGAUGUAGGCAUUGAAGGACAAGAUAGGAGUUUGCAUGCUGGUCAACAAUUUUAAAUCAGAGGGAGGGAGAGGGAGAGGAAAAGGGAGAGAGGCAGAGAGUGAGAGAGAGGUAGAGAGAAAGAGAGAGAGGGAGUGAGAAAGAGAGAUCAAAUUUACUUAUUUUGCCAAUAGAACUGUUGUGUGAAAAAUGAACUGAAAGGAAGUAAGGGGAGAAAAACAGCAAAGAGCACAUUUAGGAAGUGAAGAUAAUGAGAGUCCACUCAAUGAUAAAGGUUUGGACUUGGACAGUUUAGUAGAGAAGUACACAAGAACGGUUGUGAAAUAUAUCUUAGAAGUAUAAUUUGUGGAGUUUUGCUGAUUGAUUAAAUAUGAGGCAUGAGAAGAAGGAGAGAAAGGAAUGAAAUAUGUCUACCAGGAAUAUGGGUUGAACCAUUGAGUAGAUGGUGGUGCAGGUGCAAUUUACUGAAGAUCUGGGAUGAACAGGUUUUGGAGUGAAGAUCCAAGUCCACUUUUUUAUGUAUUAAAUUUAAGAUACAUUUUAGACAUUAGGAGACAUUUGUGGCCACUAUGACAUAUAAGGCUUUAGCUUAUUUGAGAGGUUCAGACUGGAAAUAUCUAUUUGAGUAGUUAGUAUUUUAUGUGCAAGCCAUAUAAUUGAAUGAUAUUACAUAGAGAAAAAGUGUAGAGUGAGAAAAGGAGAGGA
This 2924-nucleotide long non-coding RNA is filed under the name Homo sapiens (human). Its description in RNAcentral is "HSALNT0109072". The record is from RNAcentral. Lineage: Eukaryota; Metazoa; Chordata; Mammalia; Primates; Hominidae.